UGAGGAACUUGUCCCGGUCUCUGGAAUAACGAGUGGAAACAUUCGCUAAUACCGGAUGCCGUCGGAUCACUGCAUGGUGAACUGACGAAAGGGUUACCGGAUCGGGAGAGUCUCGCGGCCUAUCAGCUUGUUGGUGAGGUAACGGCUCACCAAGGCGACGACGGGUAGCUGGUCUGAGAGGAUGGCCAGCCACAGUUGGGACUGAGACACGGCCCAGACCUCCGUACGGGAGCAG
RNAcentral lists this ribosomal RNA (235 nucleotides) under uncultured bacterium. RNAcentral's name for it is "partial 16S ribosomal RNA". It matches the Rfam family "Bacterial small subunit ribosomal RNA", at positions 118 to 347 of the family's 1533-position model. The record is from RNAcentral.